GUGGGUAUAGCUCAGUGGUAGAGCACAUGCUUAGCAUUCACGAGGUCCUGGGUUCAAUUCCCAGUACGUUCG
This 72-nucleotide transfer RNA is filed under the name Camelus dromedarius (Arabian camel). It matches the Rfam family "tRNA". Rfam says of the family: Transfer RNA (tRNA) molecules are approximately 80 nucleotides in length. The record is from Rfam by way of RNAcentral. RNAcentral also lists the same sequence under 1 other name. Lineage: Eukaryota; Metazoa; Chordata; Mammalia; Artiodactyla; Camelidae.